RNAcentral lists this non-coding RNA (39 nucleotides) under Prorocentrum micans. The record is from RNAcentral. RNAcentral also lists the same sequence under 2 other names. Lineage: Eukaryota; Dinophyceae; Prorocentrales; Prorocentraceae.
UUUUUUUUUUUUUUUUUUUUUUUUUUUUUUUUUUUUUUU